CACUCCUACGGGAGGCAGCAGUGGGGAAUAUUGGACAAUGGGCGCAAGCCUGAUCCAGCCAUGCCGCGUGAGUGAUGAAGGCCCUAGGGUUGUAAAGCUCUUUCACCGGUGAAGAUAAUGACGGUAACCGGAGAAGAAGCCCCGGCUAACUUCGUGCCAGCAGCCGCGGUAAUACGAAGGGGGCUAGCGUUGUUCGGAUUUACUGGGCGUAAAGCGCACGUAGGCGGACUAUUAAGUCAGGGGUGAAAUCCCGGGGCUCAACCCCGGAACUGCCUUUGAUACUGGUAGUCUUGAGUUCGAGAGAGGUGAGUGGAAUUCCGAGUGUAGAGGUGAAAUUCGUAGAUAUUCGGAGGAACACCAGUGGCGAAGGCGGCUCACUGGCUCGAUACUGACGCUGAGGUGCGAAAGCGUGGGGAGCAAACAGGAUUAGAAACCCGGGUAGUCCCAU
This 448-nucleotide ribosomal RNA is filed under the name uncultured organism. Its description in RNAcentral is "partial 16S ribosomal RNA". It matches the Rfam family "Bacterial small subunit ribosomal RNA", at positions 334 to 798 of the family's 1533-position model. The record is from RNAcentral.